This is a long non-coding RNA of Scophthalmus maximus (turbot), 1134 nucleotides long. RefSeq lists it as uncharacterized. The transcript has 3 exons. The record is from RefSeq and is a predicted model, not a curated record. NCBI's taxonomy places the organism in Eukaryota, Metazoa, Chordata, Actinopteri, Pleuronectiformes, Scophthalmidae.
CGCUAUGACGCUCGAUUGACACCCAGCGGGAAUUAGUCCGUGAAAAGUUUGGGCAUAUGAAGUUGACGUGCUUGACGGUCUUAACAAGGAUAUUGAUAUUGCCUGUACGUAUUCUUUGUGUACACCUGGAGGUAUUCCUAUUCGUAGUUUUAUCAUACCGUUGUUCGCGUGUUUGUAUUAGCUCCACGUGAGUGUUAGCUCAUUAGCUUACGUUGUUUAUUUUGUUAGCAUUAGCAGCGUGAACGGGUUGUUAGCCGCUGCAUAGCUAAGCUAGCUUGCGCCGAAGAAGGCUUUUUAUUUACUUCAUCGUCUUUGACGUGGAAACCUUGAUGACUGCUGAGACUCCUGGAGCUGCCCAGCUAACGCGCAGAGCUUCUUCCACCCCGCGGGAGAGACCACGCCAUGGCUGGACACUGGUCCGCCACCUUGACCGAGAGACUGGCCACGUCAUCAUCAGCUGCCGAGGCCACGCCUCUCUGUCGACACCUGUCUGUCCCUCGUUCUUCACCUGAGGCCUGAGAGACCGGUUAAAGCUGCAGGUUGGACUCAGGACUGAACUAAAGCUUGGGGCUACGUGACAGCUGAUCCGAGAUGAGUGACAGGUGCUGGCGAGGGAACGUGACUAACGCGGGGGGAGGGGAGGAGGAGGAGGAGAGAGGAGGAACGGGACACUUCCUGCCUCAAGGUCUUGACUUGUGCGUCCGUCAUCUUCAGCGCCUUGGCCAGUGUGGCGCGCUCGGCCGACGCCAGGUACUUCUGCCGGUGGAAGCGCUUCUCCAGCUCGCAGAUCUGCACGCGGCUGAAGGAGGUGCGCGGCUUUUUCCUCUUGGGCGGCGUCCGGUUCUGGUACGGGUGGCCGAUGCGACGCGUCACGGAGAACGGCGAGAGGGCGGCUGAGAAGACAAAAGGCGAGGAUUUAUUAGAGGUUUGAUUUAGAUAUUCAUUAAACAUUGUGUACGUAGGGGGAUUUAAACAUCAUUCACGUCGUCCUUAAAUAAGUCAGCGUUAGCAUUAGCAGUCAGGUCCCUGUAAGUAAUUAAGGUGUUUACACGUAAAAAGGGUUUUAGAUCCAUUAGUGUUAAUGGUUAUUUAUCUGUGCUGCUGAAGAAUAAACUUAUUUCCCCUGAGCUUUCA